UUCAAAUGCCCCUGACAAAGGAUUUGGUGU
RNAcentral lists this non-coding RNA (30 nucleotides) under Mus musculus (house mouse). The record is from RNAcentral. Lineage: Eukaryota; Metazoa; Chordata; Mammalia; Rodentia; Muridae. RNAcentral also lists the same sequence under 1 other name.